AAAUAAGAGCCCGCAAUUGCAUUUUGGUUUCGGCCCAAAUUUCUGAGGUGAGACCCCUCACUUAUUUU
RNAcentral lists this transfer RNA (68 nucleotides) under Panthalis oerstedi. RNAcentral's name for it is "tRNA-Arg". The record is from RNAcentral. Lineage: Eukaryota; Metazoa; Annelida; Polychaeta; Phyllodocida; Acoetidae.